RNAcentral lists this long non-coding RNA (202 nucleotides) under Pelobates cultripes (western spadefoot toad). The record is from RNAcentral. Lineage: Eukaryota; Metazoa; Chordata; Amphibia; Anura; Pelobatidae.
CAAACCCACCUCAGUCGUAGCAAGAAUACACACCUAAGCCACACACUGUAAGCAAAAUUGUAAUUUAGAGGGAGGGAGAUUUGUACUGCCACCAUAUUAAGAAAAAAAGAAUUUACGGUGAGUAAAAAUUUCAGUUUUUUUCUGACAUAUGGUGGCAGUACGUAUGGGAUAUAGCAAGAUCCCUAGUCGGGUGGGCCUUAUG